UGGGGGAUAUUGCACAAUGGGCGAAAGCCUGAUGCAGCGACGCCGCGUGGGGGAUGAAGGCCUUCGGGUUGUAAACUUCUUUUGCUCUGAACAAGGCGCACCAUGGGGUGUGUUGAGUGUAGGGGUUGAUUAGCGCCGUCUAACUACGUGCCAGCAGCCGCGGUAAUACGUAUGGCGCGAGCUUUGUCCGGAAUUAUUGGGCGUAAAGGGCUUGUAGGUGGCUGGUUGCGUCUGUCGUGAAAGCUCAUGGCUUAACUGUGGGUUUGCGGUGGGUACGGGCUGGCUUGAGUGCAGUAGGGGAGGCUGGAAUUCCUGGUGUAGCGGUGGAAUGCGCAGAUAUCAGGAGGAAUACCGGUGGCGAAGGCGGGUCUCUGGGCUGUUACUGACACUGAGGAGCGAAAGCAUGGGGAGCGAACAGG
Molecule: ribosomal RNA, 419 nt
Filed under: bacterium
Lineage: Bacteria
Description: partial 16S ribosomal RNA
Rfam family: Bacterial small subunit ribosomal RNA
Source: RNAcentral